UACGUAGGUGACCAGCGUUGUCCGGAUUUACUGGGCGUAAAGAGCGCGCAGGCGGUCGUUCAAGUCGAGUGUGAAAGCCCCCGGCUCAACUGGGGAGGGUCACUCGAUACUGAUCGACUUGAAGGCAGGAGAGGGAAGCGGAAUUCCGGGUGGAGUGGUGAAAUGCGUAGAGAUCCGGAGGAACACCAGAGGCGAAGGCGGCCUACUGGGCUGCACCUGACGCUGAGCCGCGAAAGCCAGGGGAGCGAACGGG
RNAcentral lists this ribosomal RNA (253 nucleotides) under uncultured bacterium. RNAcentral describes it as "partial 16S ribosomal RNA". It matches the Rfam family "Bacterial small subunit ribosomal RNA", at positions 524 to 776 of the family's 1533-position model. The record is from RNAcentral.